Molecule: long non-coding RNA, 944 nt
Organism: Eriocheir sinensis (Chinese mitten crab)
Lineage: Eukaryota; Metazoa; Arthropoda; Malacostraca; Decapoda; Varunidae
Exons: 2
Source: RefSeq, a predicted model, not a curated record
GGAAAGAGAGAAGAAAGAAAGGAAGGAAGGAAGGGAUAAGAAAAGGGGAUUAAGGAAGGAAAGAAGAAAGGAAGGAAGGAAGGAAGUGAGGAGGAAGAGAAUACAAGAGGAAGGAAAGUAUAAUGAAGAUGACCUAGGAGAGAAGGAAGUAAGGAAGGGAGAGAAGGGAAGAGGAAGGGAGGAGGGAGGGAAGGAAGGAUGCUGAUGUGGUUUUGAGGAAGAUGGAGAGAAAAUAUGGAGGAAAGGAGGAAGGUUGGAGAUUGAGGAAGUUAUCUACAUGCACGUGUUCUUAAUAAUGGAGGAAGAAGAAGAAGAAGAAGGAAAAAGAAGAAGAAGAAGAAGAAUGAGAAAAAGAAAAAGGAGAAGGAAAAAGAAGGAGAACAAGAAGAAGAAGAAGAAGAAGAGGAGGAGGAGGAGGAGGAGGAAAAGGAAAACGAGAAAGAGAAAGGGAAAAUUAUAUACAAGGACGAAGGGAAAUUUAUACACGAGAAAAGAAAAGGAAGAAGAAGAAAAAGAAAAAGAGGAGGAAAGAAAACAUACAAAAAACAAACAUAACAUAAAUAAGGAAGUAAGAAAUGGAGAAGAAGAGAAUGAGAAAUGGAGGAGGAGGAGAAGAAGAGGAGGAGGAGGAAGGAAGGAAAGAAGGAAGAGGAAACCAUUAUCCCCCAUUCCUCUUAUUUCCAAUGUUCGUGUAAGUGUUUAUUUCCUAUUCUGGGUAAGUAAGGAAAGGAUGAAUGGAAGUAAAGAGAAGAGAGGAGAAGGAGAAGAAGAAGAAGAAGAACAGAGAUGAUAAAAAUAACGGGAUAGAGAGGAAGAUGAGAAGAGAGGAGGAGAAGGAGAAGAAGAAGAAGAAGAACAGAGAUGAUAAAAGUAACGGGAUAGAGAGGAAGAUGAGAAGAGAGGAGGAGAAGGAGAAGAAGAAGAAGAAGAACAGAGAUGAUAAA